Molecule: ribosomal RNA, 205 nt
Filed under: uncultured bacterium
Lineage: Bacteria
Description: partial 16S ribosomal RNA
Rfam family: Bacterial small subunit ribosomal RNA
Source: RNAcentral
CGUAGGUGGCCUUCUAAGUCGAACGUGAAAUCCCUGGGCUCAACCCAGGAACUGCGUCCGAGACUGGGAGGCUUGAAUCCGGGAGAGGGAUGCGGAAUUCCAGGUGUAGCGGUGAAAUGCGUAGAUAUCUGGAGGAACACCGGUGGCGAAGGCGGCAUCCUGGACCGGUAUUGACACUGAGGCGCGAAAGCCAGGGGAGCGAACG